RNAcentral lists this non-coding RNA (24 nucleotides) under Arabidopsis thaliana (thale cress). Lineage: Eukaryota; Viridiplantae; Streptophyta; Magnoliopsida; Brassicales; Brassicaceae. The record is from RNAcentral.
AUGUUGAUCCCUGAUUUGGUUGCC